RNAcentral lists this transfer RNA (66 nucleotides) under Metidiocerus impressifrons. RNAcentral's name for it is "tRNA-Tyr". The record is from RNAcentral. RNAcentral also lists the same sequence under 1 other name. Lineage: Eukaryota; Metazoa; Arthropoda; Insecta; Hemiptera; Cicadellidae.
ACUAAGAUGGCUGAAGUAAUAAGCAGUAAAUUGUAAAUUUACUUAUGAAUAUAAAUUCUCUUGGUA